Molecule: ribosomal RNA, 497 nt
Filed under: uncultured bacterium
Lineage: Bacteria
Description: partial 16S ribosomal RNA
Rfam family: Bacterial small subunit ribosomal RNA
Source: RNAcentral
GAUGAACGCUGGCGGCGUGCCUAAUACAUGCAAGUCGAGCGAACAGACGAGGAGCUUGCUCCUCUGACGUUAGCGGCGGACGGGUGAGUAACACGUGGAUAACCUACCUAUAAGACUGGGAUAACUUCGGGAAACCGGAGCUAAUACCGGAUAAUAUAUUGAACCGCAUGGUUCAAUAGUGAAAGACGGUUUUGCUGUCACUUAUAGAUGGAUCCGCGCCGCAUUAGCUAGUUGGUAAGGUAACGGCUUACCAAGGCAACGAUGCGUAGCCGACCUGAGAGGGCGAUCGGCCACACUGGAACUGAGACACGGUCCAGACUCCUACGGGAGGCAGCAGUAGGGAAUCUUCCGCAAUGGGCGAAAGCCUGACGGAGCAACGCCGCGUGAGUGAUGAAGGUCUUCGGAUCGUAAAACUCUGUUAAUAGGGAAGAACAAAUGUGUAAGUAACUAUGCACGUCUUGACGGUACCUAAUCAGAAAGCCACGGCUAACUACGUG